RNAcentral lists this long non-coding RNA (399 nucleotides) under Coturnix japonica (Japanese quail). RNAcentral's name for it is "lncRNA (ENSCJPG00005020177.1)". The record is from RNAcentral. Lineage: Eukaryota; Metazoa; Chordata; Aves; Galliformes; Phasianidae.
GGCUGGCACCGUGCUCCAUUGUGCACAGCAGCUUUAUGAAACUGCUGUGCCUGUUGGUGAGCUCCUGCCCUCUGGGCUGGGAAGAUUGUUCUUCCUGCAAUUAGUAUUCAUGGUCAGCUGAGCAGAACUUAUACAACAGCUCUUCUCUGCUUUGAAGGUUAUGUUACACGGUUUCAAAGUGGCCAGAGGAGAUUCCUAUAUGAAGAAGAUAUCUGGCAAUAUCCAUUGUCUUCUUGUGUAUUUAAUGCUUGCGUUUCAGGUUGUAUUCCAAUGAUCUUUAUUGUCAUGAAGUUUCCAUUUCGAGUGAUGUUUGUCAAGUCAGCUCUGAGCAGGAUUUCCUACAAGAAAGGUUUUACAGUCUCAUUCUCCAGUUGCUCUCAAUCUCUAUUCCAGAAGUAA